RNAcentral lists this long non-coding RNA (266 nucleotides) under Sander lucioperca (pikeperch). Its description in RNAcentral is "lncRNA (ENSSLUG00000011767.1)". The record is from RNAcentral. Lineage: Eukaryota; Metazoa; Chordata; Actinopteri; Perciformes; Percidae.
GGCGACGACGGCUCGGUGCUGGAAAGGGACGCAGUGAAGCUGGCCUCGGCUCGGAUAUGACUAAUGCCUAUUUGAUCGAGGUUUAUUUGCUGCUUAGUAAUUGCACGGGCUUCGGAUGAAUCGUUGGCUUCUACCUUCUCAUCACUCCUUUCACUGAUUUCCAUGUCUUACUUGUAAGGGUUUCCAAACAGCAUCAUCAGGACUGCUCAUUGUCCGAUACUGAUCGUCUACGGCUGCUCCAGGCCGGACUUUCUUGUCGGGUGACC